RNAcentral lists this ribosomal RNA (446 nucleotides) under uncultured bacterium. RNAcentral describes it as "partial 16S ribosomal RNA". It matches the Rfam family "Bacterial small subunit ribosomal RNA", at positions 338 to 795 of the family's 1533-position model. The record is from RNAcentral.
CCUACGGGUGGCAGCAGUCGAGAAUCAUUCACAAUGGGGGAAACCCUGAUGGUGCGACGCCGCGUGGGGGAAUGAAGGUCUUCGGAUUGUAAACCCCUGUCAUGUGGGAGCAAAUUAAAAAGAUAGUACCACAAGAGGAAGAGACGGCUAACUCUGUGCCAGCAGACGCGGUAAUACAGAGGUCUCAAGCGUUGUUCGGAAUCACUGGGCGUAAAGCGUGCGUAGGCUGUUUCGUAAGUCGUGUGUGAAAGGUGCGGGCUCAACCCGCGGACGGCACAUGAUACUGCGAGACUAGAGUAAUGGAGGGGGAACCGGAAUUCUCGGUGUAGCAGUGAAAUGCGUAGAUAUCGAGAGGAACACUCGUGGCGAAGGCGGGUUCCUGGACAUUAACUGACGCUGAGGCACGAAGGCCAGGGGAGCGAAAGGGAUUAGAUACCCCUGUAGUC